RNAcentral lists this ribosomal RNA (294 nucleotides) under uncultured bacterium. RNAcentral's name for it is "partial 16S ribosomal RNA". It matches the Rfam family "Bacterial small subunit ribosomal RNA", at positions 775 to 1067 of the family's 1533-position model. The record is from RNAcentral.
GGAUUAGAUACCCUGGUAGUCCACGCCCUAAACGAUGUGUGCUAGUUGUUGGGCCUUAAGGUUCAGUGACGCAGCUAACGCAUUAAGCACACCGCCUGGGGAGUACGGUCGCAAGAUUAAAACUCAAAGGAAUUGACGGGGACCCGCACAAGCGGUGGAGUAUGUUGUUUAAUUCGAAGCAACGCGAAGAACCUUACCUACACUUGACAUCCUUCUUGGGACUUUCAGAGAUGAUUGUCUUCGGUUCGGCCGGGGAAGUGACAGGUGCUGCAUGGCUGUCGUCAGCUCGUGCCG